GACGAACGCUGGCGGCGCGCCUAACACAUGCAAGUCGAGCGAUGAAAUUUUAACCGAUCUCUUCGGAGAGAAGAUAAAAUGGAUUAGCGGCGGACGGGUGAGUAACACGUGAGAAACCUGCCUUUCACAAGGGGAUAGCCUCGGGAAACCGGGAUUAAUACCCUAUGACACAUUUCCUUCGCAUGGAAGAAAUGUUAAAACUCCGGUGGUGAAAGAUGGUCUCGCGCCUGAUUAGCUAGUUGGUGGGGUAACGGCCCACCAAGGCCAUGAUCAGUAACCGGCCUGAGAGGGUGAACGGUCACAUUGGAACUGAGACACGGUCCAAACUCCUACGAGAGGCAGCAGUGGGGAAUAUUGCACAAUGGAGGAAACUCUGAUGCAGCGACGCCGCGUGAGCGAUGAAGGCUUUCGAGUCGUAAAGCUCUGUCCUAUGGGAAGAUAAUGACGGUACCAUAGGAGGAAGCCCCGGCUAACUACGUG
This 480-nucleotide ribosomal RNA is filed under the name uncultured bacterium. RNAcentral's name for it is "partial 16S ribosomal RNA". It matches the Rfam family "Bacterial small subunit ribosomal RNA", at positions 28 to 507 of the family's 1533-position model. The record is from RNAcentral.